This 1071-nucleotide long non-coding RNA is filed under the name Homo sapiens (human). RNAcentral describes it as "non-protein coding lnc-DRD5-13:1". Lineage: Eukaryota; Metazoa; Chordata; Mammalia; Primates; Hominidae. The record is from RNAcentral.
GUCUCAAAAAAAAAAAGCCCCCUUUGAUCUUGAUAAAGAAGCAUCCACUCUAUCUUCCAUAACUACUCUGUGGAUGAAUAGUAAUGGCAAUAGCCAACAGUUAUUGUGUGCUUAUUAAGUGCUGGGCACUGUUCUAGGGGUUUUCCAUGUAGCAACUAAUGUUCUCACUAUAAUUCUAGAAGUAGUUCUUACUAUUUUCCCCAUUUCACUGGUGAAGAAUGCUGAGGCAGGGCAGGUUAAGUAACCUGACCAGAGUCCCACAGCAAGUACGCGGUGGAGCCUGGACUUGAACCUAGGCUCUCUGGCUCCAGGGAUUGCUCUUCUGUGCUGUACUUCAAAGGAAAGAAUGCAGAGAAGGUGUUAGCCUGAGGCUGGGAGCAGUCAACACUCAGUAAAUUCUUUCCACCUGCAUGUUUGGCUGUUGGGAACAGGCAGACUCGAUUUUUAAUUAUACAAAUGGACAAAAGUGGACAGAUAAUCCCAGCCUGGAAGUUUCCUGGUGGGAGCAGAGUGUGUGGAUCAGAUGUCCCUGGGUAUCAUAUCCUGUUGUCCCCAGCCCAGCUGCGUUGGUUGCUUGGGGUCAUGGGAAUGUUAGUGUUGCUCUGAAGCCAGGAAAGCACCUAGUUAGUGAGGAUUGGAGCGAACAGGGUUGGGCAUGGGUAGCCCACUGUCUCUUUCUGCAUCUAGGUCUUGCAUCUAGAUGCAACAUGCUCAAUUUGCCAAAUGCGUAGGUAGCUGAGAAGUGCCACAUUUUAAAGACUGCUCUAAAUUCAAGAGACACAUAGUCAUGGAACUGCUGGAGGUUUGGGCUUUCGACACACUCUGAAAUACUGCCUCUCUCCUCACCACCCACACUUCCUGCUGAUAAUCCAAGUUUUUUUUUCUUUGCCUUUAUUACUUCCAAGCUCUAGUUCUUGGCUGAGACAAACUGCAGUCCCCAAAUGCUGUGAUUUAAUGAGAGGAAAUUUACUCGACUUAAUGUACAAAUUUGCCAGGGGAAGUGAUUUUGAUAAGGAUAAUUACAUUCACAUCUUAGUGUAAAUUAUAGCAAAUAUCUUACACUGUGAGCAG